Molecule: ribosomal RNA, 594 nt
Filed under: uncultured eukaryote
Lineage: Eukaryota
Description: SSU rRNA
Rfam family: Eukaryotic small subunit ribosomal RNA
Source: RNAcentral
UUAAAAAGCUCGUAGUUGGAUUUCGGAGUGGGCCAGUUGGUCCGCCGCAAGGUGUGUUACUGACUGGUUUGCUCUUCUUCGCAAAGACUGCGUGUGCUCUUCAGUGAGUGUGCGUAGGAUUUACGACGUUUACUUUGAAAAAAUUAGAGUGUUCAAAGCAGGCUAUUGCUUGAAUACAUGAGCAUGGAAUAAUGGAAUAGGACUUUGGUCCCAUUUUGUUGGUUUCUAGGGCCGAAGUAAUGAUUAAGAGGGACAAUUGGGGGCAUCCGUAUUUCGUUGUCAGGGGUGAAAUUCUUGGAUUUACGAAAGACGAACAACUGCGAAAGCACUUGCCAAGAGUGUUUUCAUUAAUCAAGAACGAAAGUUAGAGGAUCGAAGACGAUCAGAUACCGUCCUAGUUCUAACCAUAAACGAUGUCGACUAGGGAUCAGCGGGCGUUAUCGUACGACCCCGUUGGCACCUUACGGGAAACCAAAGUUUCUGGAUUCCGGGGGAAGUAUGGUUGCAAAGCUGAGACUUAAAGGAAUUGACGGAAGGGCACCACCAGGAGUGGAGCCUGUGGCUCAAUUUGACUCAACACGGGAAAACUUUCCA